AUGGACGACGUCACCGCCGAGAUCCUCCUCCGCCUCCCGCCGGACGAGCCGGAGCACCUCUUCCGCGCCGCGCUCGUCUGCAAGCCGUGGCUCCGCAUCCUCUGCGACCCCGGCUUCCUCCGCCGCUACCGCGCCUUCCACGGCACCCCUCCCCUCCUCGGCCUCCUCCACAGGCUCAGGGUGAUCGACGGGGACGCGCCCGCCCGCUUCGCCUCCACCACGUCGGCGCCGGACUUCCCCCACCCGAGCUCCGACGGCCGCCGCACGCGCCCCCUCGACUGCCGCCAUGGCCGCGUCCUCGUCCGCAUGCUGGAGAACGAGGACGUGGAUUACCUCGUCUGGGACCCCGUCACGGGCGACCGCCACGCCGUCCCCACGCCGGACAUUGAGUCCGCGGCGGUGCUCUGCGCCGCCGACGGCUGCGACCACCUCGACUGCCACGGCGGCCCCUUCCGCGUGCUCUUCGCCGCCACCCACGACUACGAGGACACCAUAUGCGCGAGCGUCUACUCGUCGGAGACGGGGGCAUUGAGCGAGCCGGUGUGCCUCAACGACAGUUGUGAAACCUUUGCAAAGCAUAUGCGAGAGGGAGAAGCAUAUAGACGCUACUACACACCCUAUCUCCACCCUAAGCGAGGCACCGUUGUCGGAGAUGCAGUCUACUUCACGGUUCGGCUGGGUAAUGCAAUCGUCAAGUAUGACUUGGGCAAGAACAGCUUAUCCAUGAUUGACCCGCCGCCGCACACCAUGUAUUACAUUGCCCUCAUGGCGAUGGAGGAGAACAAUUCACUUGGCUUUACCUACAUUAAGGAUUCCAGCCUCUAUAUAUGGUCAAGGAAGGUGGAUACGGAAGGACCUGCGGAAUGGGUGCAAUACAGGGUCAUCGAACUGGAGAAAACGAUACCUGUUGCCAAACAAGAUGAGAAACCAUUUGUUGCUGGGUCUGCAGAGGGUGUGGGUGUCAUCUUUGUUUGCACAGGUGCUGGCUUAUUUAUGAUCAAGCUCAGCUCUGGGCAGCUUACGAAGGUUGAUGAGCCUGGGGUCUACUUUAGGGUCCUACCCUACAUGAGCUUCUACACUCCAGAUCGUGGCAGAAUGUUGUCGAUCUCUGGCGAGGACAAACUGAUCUCUUAA
RNAcentral lists this ribosomal RNA (1134 nucleotides) under Triticum aestivum (bread wheat). RNAcentral describes it as "partial small subunit ribosomal RNA". Lineage: Eukaryota; Viridiplantae; Streptophyta; Magnoliopsida; Poales; Poaceae. The record is from RNAcentral.